Non-coding RNA from Opisthocomus hoazin, 193 nucleotides. The record is from RefSeq and is a predicted model, not a curated record. NCBI's taxonomy places the organism in Eukaryota, Metazoa, Chordata, Aves, Opisthocomiformes, Opisthocomidae.
AUGGCAGUUGCAUUUGGGAGCAUUAAUGUGUUUGUGUCUGCUUGUGUCCCUCCGUCUCUCCCCAGGCUGCUGAUCGUCUACCCCUGGACCCAGAGGUUCUUUGAUAACUUUGGGAACCUCUCCAGCCCCACUGCCAUCAUCGGCAACCCCAAGGUCCGUGCCCAUGGCAAGAAAGUGCUCACCUCCUUCGGGG